GACGAACGCUGGCGGCGUGCUUAACACAUGCAAGUCGAACGGAAAGGCCCUGCUUGCAGGGUACUCGAGUGGCGAACGGGUGAGUAACACGUGGGUGAUCUGCCCUGCACUUCGGGAUAAGCCUGGGAAACUGGGUUUAAUACCGGAUAGGAGCCAUUUUUAGUGUGAUGGUUGGAAAGUUUUUUCGGUGUAGGAUGAGCUCGCGGCCUAUCAGCUUGUUGGUGGGGUAAUGGCCUACCAAGGCGGCGACGGGUAGCCGGCCUGAGAGGGUGGACGGCCACAUUGGGACUGAGAUACGGCCCAGACUCCUACGGGAGGCAGCAGUGGGGAAUAUUGCACAAUGGGCGCAAGCCUGAUGCAGCGACGCCGCGUGGGGGAUGACGGCCUUCGGGUUGUAAACUCCUUUCGCUAGGGACGAAGCUUUUUGUGACGGUACCUAGAUAAGAAGCACCGGCUAACUACGUG
Molecule: ribosomal RNA, 465 nt
Filed under: uncultured bacterium
Lineage: Bacteria
Description: partial 16S ribosomal RNA
Rfam family: Bacterial small subunit ribosomal RNA
Source: RNAcentral